UACGUAGGGGGCAAGCGUUGUCCGGAAUCAUUGGGCGUAAAGCGCGUGUAGGCGGUCCGAUCAGUCGGCUGUGAAAGUCCAGGGCUCAACCCUGGGAUGCCGGUCGAUACUGUCGGGCUAGAGUCCGGAAGAGGCGAGUGGAAUUCCCGGUGUAGCGGUGAAAUGCGCAGAUAUCGGGAGGGACACCAAUGGCGAAGGCAGCUCGCUGGGACGGUACUGACGCUGAGACGCGAAAGCGUGGGGAGCAAACAGG
Molecule: ribosomal RNA, 253 nt
Filed under: uncultured bacterium
Lineage: Bacteria
Description: partial 16S ribosomal RNA
Rfam family: Bacterial small subunit ribosomal RNA
Source: RNAcentral